GGAGAGGUGUCCGAGCGGCUGAAGGAGCACGGCUGGAAUCCGUGUAGUCGGGGUAACCCGGCUCGGGGGUUCGAAUCCCCCCCUCUCCG
Molecule: transfer RNA, 89 nt
Filed under: bacterium
Lineage: Bacteria
Also listed under: 5 other names
Description: tRNA-Ser
Rfam family: tRNA
About the family: Transfer RNA (tRNA) molecules are approximately 80 nucleotides in length. Their secondary structure includes four short double-helical elements and three loops (D, anti-codon, and T loops).
Source: RNAcentral